This 791-nucleotide ribosomal RNA is filed under the name uncultured bacterium. Its description in RNAcentral is "bacterial SSU rRNA". It matches the Rfam family "Bacterial small subunit ribosomal RNA", at positions 8 to 796 of the family's 1533-position model. The record is from RNAcentral.
AGAGUUUGAUCAUGGCUCAGAUUGAACGCUGGCGGCAUGCUUUACACAUGCAAGUCGAGCGGCAGCGCGGGGGCAACCCUGGCGGCGAGCGGCGAACGGGUGAGUAAUAUAUCGGAACAUGUCCGGAAGUGGGGGAUAGCUCGGCGAAAGCCGGAUUAAUACCGCAUAUGCCCUGAGGGGGAAAGUGGGGGAUCGCAAGACCUCACGCUUUCGGAGUGGCCGAUAUCGGAUUAGCUAGUUGGUGGGGUAAAGGCUUACCAAGGCGACGAUCCGUAGCUGGUCUGAGAGGACGACCAGCCACACUGGAACUGAGACACGGUCCAGACUCCUACGGGAGGCAGCAGUGGGGAAUUUUGGACAAUGGGGGAAACCCUGAUCCAGCCAUGCCGCGUGAGUGAAGAAGGCCUUCGGGUUGUAAAGCUCUUUCAGACGGAAAGAAACGGUCACGGUGAAUAUCCGUGACUAAUGACGGUACCGUCAGAAGAAGCACCGGCUAACUACGUGCCAGCAGCCGCGGUAAUACGUAGGGUGCGAGCGUUAAUCGGAAUUACUGGGCGUAAAGCGUGCGCAGGCGGUUUUGUAAGACAGAUGUGAAAUCCUCGGGCUUAACCUGGGAACUGCAUUUGUGACUGCAAGGCUAGAGUGCGGCAGAGGGGGGUAGAAUUCCACGUAGCAGUGAAAUGCGUAGAUAUGUGGAGGAAUACCGAUGGCGAAGGCAGCCCCCUGGGUCGACACUGACGCUCAUGCACGAAAGCGUGGGGAGCAAACAGGAUUAGAUACCCUAGUAGUCC